RNAcentral lists this transfer RNA (88 nucleotides) under Rickettsiales bacterium. RNAcentral describes it as "tRNA-Ser". It matches the Rfam family "tRNA". From Rfam's summary of the family: Transfer RNA (tRNA) molecules are approximately 80 nucleotides in length. Their secondary structure includes four short double-helical elements and three loops (D, anti-codon, and T loops). The record is from RNAcentral. Lineage: Bacteria; Pseudomonadati; Pseudomonadota; Alphaproteobacteria; Rickettsiales.
GGGCAGAUGGCUGAGUGGUCGAUAGCUGCGGUCUUGAAAACCGCCGAGGGGCAACUCUCCGGGGGUUCGAAUCCCUCUCUGCCCGCCA